GACGAACGCUGGCGGCGUGCUUAACACAUGCAAGUCGAGCGAUGAAGCACCUUCGGGUGUGAAUUAGCGGCGAACGGGUGAGGAACACGUGAAGAAUCUGCCUUCAACUCUGGGAUAACUCCGGGAAACCGGGGCUAAUACCGGAUAUGAGCCUUGAUCGCAUGAUCGGGGCUGGAAAGUUUUUCGGUUGAAGAUGACUUCGCGGCCUAUCAGCUUGUUGGUGAGGUAAUGGCUCACCAAGGAGACGACGGGUAGCCGGCCUGAGAGGGCGACCGGCCACACUGGGACUGAGACACGGCCCAGACUCCUACGGGAUGCAGCAGUUGGAAAUAUUGGGCAAUGGAGGAAACUCUGACCCAGCGACGCCGCGUGAGGGAUGAAGGCCUUCGGGUUGUAAACCUCUUUCAGUAGGGAAGAAGCGAAAGUGACGGUACCUACAGAAGAAGCACCGGCUAACUAUGUGCCAGCAGCCGCAGUAA
RNAcentral lists this ribosomal RNA (479 nucleotides) under uncultured bacterium. RNAcentral describes it as "partial 16S ribosomal RNA". It matches the Rfam family "Bacterial small subunit ribosomal RNA", at positions 28 to 523 of the family's 1533-position model. The record is from RNAcentral.